Molecule: ribosomal RNA, 577 nt
Filed under: Escherichia coli
Lineage: Bacteria; Pseudomonadati; Pseudomonadota; Gammaproteobacteria; Enterobacterales; Enterobacteriaceae
Description: partial 23S ribosomal RNA
Rfam family: Bacterial large subunit ribosomal RNA
Source: RNAcentral
UAACGAUAAAGCGGGUGAAAAGCCCGCUCGCCGGAAGACCAAGGGUUCCUGUCCAACGUUAAUCGGGGCAGGGUGAGUCGACCCCUAAGGCGAGGCCGAAAGGCGUAGUCGAUGGGAAACAGGUUAAUAUUCCUGUACUUGGUGUUACUGCGAAGGGGGGACGGAGAAGGCUAUGUUGGCCGGGCGACGGUUGUCCCGGUUUAAGCGUGUAGGCUGGUUUUCCAGGCAAAUCCGGAAAAUCAAGGCUGAGGCGUGAUGACGAGGCACUACGGUGCUGAAGCAACAAAUGCCCUGCUUCCAGGAAAAGCCUCUAAGCAUCAGGUAACAUCAAAUCGUACCCCAAACCGACACAGGUGGUCAGGUAGAGAAUACCAAGGCGCUUGAGAGAACUCGGGUGAAGGAACUAGGCAAAAUGGUGCCGUAACUUCGGGAGAAGGCACGCUGAUAUGUAGGUGAAGUCCCUCGCGGAUGGAGCUGAAAUCAGUCGAAGAUACCAGCUGGCUGCAACUGUUUAUUAAAAACACAGCACUGUGCAAACACGAAAGUGGACGUAUACGGUGUGACGCCUGCCCGGUGC